RNAcentral lists this long non-coding RNA (367 nucleotides) under Amborella trichopoda. RNAcentral describes it as "long non-coding RNA (ATRI_LNC003381)". The record is from RNAcentral. Lineage: Eukaryota; Viridiplantae; Streptophyta; Magnoliopsida; Amborellales; Amborellaceae.
AUACAAUCAAGUUCAAGGCUCCAAAGCCCAUAAUUACAAAAUUUCUAAGAACAAUCUAAGCAAGGCUAAGGGCCCAAAACAUACAAGAUUCUCCAGCUUCUUCAAAAAGUAGUCGCUUCAGUCCUAAGCUGCAGCCCAUACCUCCGACUUGUAACAUGUUGCUUUCAAUCUACAGGGAGAAAAUGUAGUGGAAUGAGCUUUGAAGCUCAAUAAGCAGAUCUAGUGUUAUACAUGGCUAUUAAACAUACUCAGGUGCAAGAAAUAGUGUCAUUAAUCAUCAUUUAUAAUAGCGCAGUAGUCGAGCAUAUUGGUUAUCAAAUCAAUGCAGCCGUUAUAACAAGAUAUCUAAUAUAAAAGUGCAUCAAAC